UCCCACCGAGGCGAUACACGGUGGUGAGCAAGAACCCAAUGACUUCUUGUUUGCUGACCACGUACGUUAAUUAAGCUGAUGAAGGCAGCAGUGCCACCCCUACCGGAUCGGCCAGUAAAGACGAGCGUGUGGCCGAUGCAAACAACUAGCUAAUUUUUUCUUCCCUAGAUUUACCGUCAGCUUCACGGCUAGAAACUUUGUCCACGUCACUCCGAAUUCUUCUGUCCAUCCGAUCUGCUGUUGAACGCUCUAGAUCUCUUCAAUCGGAUUCUACCGGAAGCGGCUUCUCCUAAUUCUCUUCACCUUUUCGACUUCUCCUCGGUUUCUCUCCCAUGGCGGCGGCGCGGGGCGAGGGUGAGAGCGCCGCCAUCGCUCCCCAGUGAGGUCGCCACCUCCAGGCUCCUCGACCCCCUCUCCAGCCCAAAGAACGUCGUCCUGGGCGGACAACCACACACGACGGUGACGGACACCCCCGCACGACAGUGAUGACGACCUAGGGUUUCGGCGAUUCCUCGCUGGCGGCUGCGGCUCAGCUCGGGAGCCCCAUAUGCUGGCCCCUACUGCGGCUGUCCCAGCGCAGCAGCUCCUGCACGGGUGCCCCACGGCGUGGGUUUCUGGCCGGAGUCCACCGCUCGCAAUGGUUGUCACUGCUGGCCACAGGCGGAUAGUCCCGACGGUCCUCUGCACUGCACUCUGUUCAUGCACAGUUGCGCCCUUCUGCUCUGUUUGCUUGUUGGCUUCUUCAGGCAUAUACCAAGAAAUGUGACACACCAUUGGAUGUUGUCUUCCAUAAUUCAGAGAUAAGAAAGAAGAAGAACCAUGACGAUUGAUCAACAAGGGACUCAUGACGGAAUGCCUAGACAACUCAAAUAUGCUAUGUCAAUAUAUUGAAGUUCGUUGGCUAUUACCAUGGCAUGUUAUCAUGGUUUCAGAGCCUUUGUUCUACGGCACUGUGAUAGAACUUCCUAUUGUCUGCAUGGUAUGCUGGUUGAAGACGACAUACAGAUAUUAUGUUUUUGAUGUCAAAAAUAUAGUUUGGCUUUCUAGAUUUCUUCUCUUGAUUAACUCCAAUUUUCUAAUGUGAUUAUUUUGGGUUUUAUAAUUACUAGCCAGGUUGCUUGUUCUAGAAAUCAUUUGCCAUUCAUCCAAUUUCAUCAUCUAUGCUAUUGUGCUUUAUAUUUUUGGCACCACGCAGCCACAACACAUUUGUCUUUCACUGCCUAUUUACACUGUCUAAUUAUAAUGUAAUGUCCUGUAUACCAACUUUUGCUCUUUCUUUUGUAGGUUCCCUUUCUAGGUUUUCCUCCCCACCUCCGUCGUAAGAUUGUAAUUUCUUUCAUGCUGUAUUUAACUUUUCGUCCCUCCACAGUUAAACUCUCCACACCUUUAGUGUUUGAGUUAAGAUCAAGAAUUUCCAAUAUUUUUGUAUCCUUGGUUUAGUCGUAUAGAGCAACUGGUAUGGGCUGAACGCUCCAUUAUUCAUUUGCUCAUAGGCUUCGUUGAACACCCACCAUCUUCUACCUGUUUGGGCCAUAAGAGUAAUAUGAGCUUUAGAUCCUAAUAGGCUAAUUGCAAUGUAGACAAAUCCUAAAUUGGAUAUAUGCAUUCACAUGCACAGUUGCACCAAAUGCUUUUUGCUUGCCUCAUAUUUAUCUCCCAUGUAUCUGGUAUAUUUGCUAUCUUCUGAUACACGCCUUUUAGCGCCUGAUGCGAAAUGUAUGUUCUUUCGGCCUGUUUUCUUUACCCAUUCUCAUAAGGCUAAUGCAACACAUAUCAAAUCCAAAAAUGAUGCAUGAUGCAGCCCUCACAUCUUUGGACUUUGGCAGGUACAAGGUGGUCACUCAAGUGUUUCUUAUACUUUUACUGACACAUAAAAAUGAUGCCUGAUGCAGCCCCAACAUCUUCAGGCUUUGGCAGCAACAAGGUGAUCUCUCAGGUGCUUAGAUUGGUCAAACAGUUAGUGCCCUAGCUUGGAUAAGGUGUUGGCGCUAUGAAAGGUAUGUCAGAGAUUCAUCCUCCGGCGCCAACUGAUUCUCCAUGGACACAAAUGUUUGAGGCAAGCGACCAAAGCUACUGGAAUCGCAAUCAAUGUUCAUGAAACAAAUAUGUAUAUUUAUUGUAUCAAACACUUUGUACAUAAACUAAUGUGCCACUGCUACCUAAAACAUGGCACAUUGUUGAAAAACAUCAGGUACCAACCGUACCCGUGCCACCUAUAAACUAUCAUGUCAUGUACAAUUAAGAUGUUACUGCAGCCGUAAAACUCAUCUAUGUAAUAUUAGAACUACAUGUAUAAUGCUUAAUGUCUAAUCUGUCGUGUUAGAUAUUUGUCUA
This is a long non-coding RNA of Sorghum bicolor (sorghum), 2334 nucleotides long. RefSeq lists it as uncharacterized. The transcript has 7 exons. Lineage: Eukaryota; Viridiplantae; Streptophyta; Magnoliopsida; Poales; Poaceae. The record is from RefSeq and is a predicted model, not a curated record.